This 568-nucleotide long non-coding RNA is filed under the name Pan troglodytes (chimpanzee). RNAcentral's name for it is "lincRNA". The record is from RNAcentral. Lineage: Eukaryota; Metazoa; Chordata; Mammalia; Primates; Hominidae.
CGACCUCGAAGCGGCAUCCGAGGAGAUGUGGCCAUGGGGCAGGCGACCGACAACAGCGAGUCCAGAGGGCCAGCGUGUGCACCACUGUGUGUCUCCAGAGACUUCAGGAAGCAGCCACCACGCCUGAGAGGAAUGCAGGAAGACGGACACAUGGCUGGGGAAGUACAAUGAAAGGCCAAGUAGGCAGCCUGUUCUCCUCAGAUCAGUCCCCCACGAACACUCAUUCCUGAGGACUCAUCCAAUACUAAGAGAAUGCUCUUGUUUUUGAAGAAUUUUCUGAAAGCCAUCCUGACAAAUUAAGUAGAGUAUGCUGAAGAUAGUCAGACUUUGUUUUUAAGAAUUGAAUAUUCUGGAAGAGGCUCUUCAGUCCAAUCUUUAGUUCUCUCCACAGAGCAAACGAAGUGAAGUGCCGAAGGCCUGGAGCCCGAGCUGUUCCCACACGGACUCCAGGACAGUUAAGGCAGGGUUGCCUUAACUAAAUCUCUGAUAACUGUUUCUUCUGUCUUUCUCCUAAAAAUGGAAUGCAGGCCAUCUAUUCUAGGGAAAUAAAGGAUUCUAGUUAUGUGAA